GGUGUCUUGGCUAAGGUGUCUUGGCUAAGGUGUCUUGGCUAUGGUGUCUUGGCUAUGGUGUCUUGGCUAAGGUGUCUUGGCUAAGGUGUCUUGGCUAAGGUGUCUUGGCUAAGGUGUCUUGGCUAAUGUGUCUCGGCUAAUGUGUCUUGGCUAAUGUGUCUUGGCUAAGGUGUCUUGGCUAAGGUGUUUUGGCUAAGGUGUCUUGGCUAAGGUGUCUUGGCUAAUGUGUCUUGGCUAAGGUGUCUUGGCUAAGGUGUCUUGGCUAAGGUGUCUUGGCUAAGGUGUCUUGGCUAAUGUGUCUUGGCUAAGGUGUCUUGGCUAAUGUGUCUCGGCUAAGGUGUCUUGGCUAAGGUGUCUUGGCUAAGGUGUCUUGGCUAAUGUGUCUUGGCUAAGGUGUCUUGGCUAAGGUGUCUUGGCUAAGGUGUCUUGGCUAAGGUGUCUUGGCUAAUGUGUCUCGGCUAAGGUGUCUUGGCUAAGGUGUCUUGGCUAAUGUGUCUUGGCUAAGGUGUCUUGGCUAAGGUGUCUUGGCUAAGGUGUCUUGGCUAAUGUGUCUCGGCUAAGGUGUCUGGGCUAAGGUGUCUUGGCUAAGGUGUCUUGGCUAAGGUGUCUUGGCUAAGGUGUCUUGGCUAAGGUGUCUUGGCUAAGGUGUCUUGGCUAAGGUGUCUUGGCUAAGGUGUCUUGGCUAAUGUGUCUCGGCUAAGGUGUCUGGGCUAAGGUGUCUUGGCUAAGGUGUCUUGGCUAAGGUGUCUUGGCUAAGGUGUCUUGGCUAAGGUGUCUUGGCUAAGGUGUCUUGGCUAAGGUGUCUUGGCUAAGGUGUCUUGGCUAAUGUGUCUUGGCUAAGGUGUCUUGGCUAAGGUGUCUUGGCUAAUGUGUCUUGGCUAAGGUGUCUUGGCUAAGGUGUCUUGGCUAAGGUGUCUUGGCUAAGGUGUCUUGGCUAAUGUGUCUCAGCUAAGGUGUCUUGGCUAAGGUGUCUUGGCUAAGGUGUCUUGGCUAAGGUGUCUUGGCUAAGGUGUCUUGGCUAAUGUGUCUCGGCUAAGGUGUCUGGGCUAAGGUGUCUUGGCUAAGGUGUCUUGGCUAAGGUGUCUUGGCUAAGGUGUCUUGGCUAAGGUGUCUUGGCUAAGGUGUCUUGGCUAAGGUGUCUUGGCUAAUGUGUCUUGGCUAAGGUGUCUUGGCUAAGGUGUCUUGGCUAAGGUGUCUUGGCUAAUGUGUCUUGGCUAAGGUGUCUUGGCUAAGGUGUCUUGGCUAAGGUGUCUUGGCUAAUGUGU
Long non-coding RNA from Anopheles funestus (African malaria mosquito), 1265 nucleotides. RefSeq lists it as uncharacterized. NCBI's taxonomy places the organism in Eukaryota, Metazoa, Arthropoda, Insecta, Diptera, Culicidae. The record is from RefSeq and is a predicted model, not a curated record. The transcript is spliced from 3 exons.